Erinaceus europaeus (western European hedgehog) is the source of this 600-nucleotide long non-coding RNA. RefSeq lists it as uncharacterized. Lineage: Eukaryota; Metazoa; Chordata; Mammalia; Eulipotyphla; Erinaceidae. The record is from RefSeq and is a predicted model, not a curated record. The transcript has 4 exons.
CGAGGCCCUGUGUGAUGAGAGCCCGGGCUUUGGGCUUGAGAGAGCGGAUCUCAGAGAUGACAGCUUGGGGUUCGAGCUUCAGAGCUGAGAAGAUGUCAUUAAUGGCUUCCUGUGGGGGAGAGGCAAGCAGGCGGUAGGGACACAUUCCAUGGGUGGAGCAGCCAGCAGUCAGUAUCACCUCAUGACAGACAUGGCUCAGAUGGCUUUGUUCCAGACUCUACACUGAAGUUGCAGCCUCCAUCUGGGCCAAAGUGUUUUCAUGGCCACCAGGUUCCAGAUGCCAGCAUGAUGCCGACCAGACUUCCCUGGACAGACGACCUCACCAAUGUGUCCUGGAGCUCUACUUCCCCAGAGCCCCACACUACUAGGGAAAGAGAGAGGCAGGCUGGGAGUAUGGAGCUACCAGUCAACUCCCAUGUUCAGCAGGGAAGCAACUACAGAAGCCAGACCUUCCACCUUCUCACCCCACAAUGACCUUGGGUCCAUACUCCCGGAGGGAUAAAGAAUAGGAAAGCUAUCAGGGGAGGGGAUGGGAUACGGAGACCUGGUGGUGGGAAUUGUGUGGAGUUGUACCCCUCUUAUCCUAUGGUUUUGUUGAUG